RNAcentral lists this ribosomal RNA (544 nucleotides) under uncultured Bacteroidota bacterium. RNAcentral describes it as "bacterial SSU rRNA". It matches the Rfam family "Bacterial small subunit ribosomal RNA", at positions 353 to 896 of the family's 1533-position model. Lineage: Bacteria; Pseudomonadati; Bacteroidota. The record is from RNAcentral.
AGUGAGGAAUAUUGCGCAAUGGAGGCAACUCUGACGCAGCCAUGCCGCGUGCAGGAAGACGGCCUUAUGGGUUGUAAACUGCUUUUAUACGAGAAUAAACCCGACUACGUGUAGUCGGCUGAAGGUAUCGUACGAAUAAGCACCGGCUAACUCCGUGCCAGCAGCCGCGGUAAUACGGAGGGUGCAAGCGUUAUCCGGAUUCAUUGGGUUUAAAGGGUGCGUAGGCGGUCUAAUAAGUCAGUGGUGAAAGCCUCCCGCUCAACGGGAGAACUGCCAUUGAUACUGUUAGACUUGAAUCUAGUUGAAGUGGGCGGAAUAUGUCAUGUAGCGGUGAAAUGCAUAGAUAUGACAUAGAACGCCGAUUGCGAAGGCAGCUCACUAAGCUAGUAUUGACGCUGAGGCACGAAAGCGUGGGUAGCGAACAGGAUUAGAUACCCUGGUAGUCCACGCCGUAAACGAUGGUCACUCGCUGUUGGCGACACAAUGUCAGUGGCUGAGCGAAAGCAUUAAGUGACCCACCUGGGGGAGUACGUUCGCAAGAAUG